GAUGAACGCUGGCGGCGUGCCUAAUACAUGCAAGUCGAGCGAACGGACGAGAAGCUUGCUUUUCUGAUGUUAGCGGCGGACGGGUGAGUAACACGUGGAUAACCUACCUAUAAGACUGGGAUAACUUCGGGAAACCGGAGCUAAUACCGGAUAAUAUUUUGAACCGCAUGGUUCAAAAGUGAAAGACGGUCUUGCUGUCACUUAUAGAUGGAUCCGCGCUGCAUUAGCUAGUUGGUAAGGUAACGGCUUACCAAGGUAACGAUGCAUAGCCGACCUGAGAGGGUGAUCGGCCACACUGGAACUGAGACACGGUCCAGACUCCUACGGGAGGCAGCAGUAGGGAAUCUUCCGCAAUGGGCGAAAGCCUGACGGAGCAACGCCGCAUGAGUGAUGAAGGUCUUCGGAUCGUAAAACUCUGUUAUUAGGGAAGAACAUAUGUGUAAGUAACUGUGCACAUCUUGACGGUACCUAAUCAGAAAGCCACGGCUAACUACGUG
RNAcentral lists this ribosomal RNA (497 nucleotides) under uncultured bacterium. RNAcentral describes it as "partial 16S ribosomal RNA". It matches the Rfam family "Bacterial small subunit ribosomal RNA", at positions 28 to 507 of the family's 1533-position model. The record is from RNAcentral.